RNAcentral lists this ribosomal RNA (548 nucleotides) under uncultured Glomeromycotina. Its description in RNAcentral is "SSU rRNA". It matches the Rfam family "Eukaryotic small subunit ribosomal RNA", at positions 548 to 1097 of the family's 1831-position model. Lineage: Eukaryota; Fungi; Glomeromycota. The record is from RNAcentral.
UUGGAGGGCAAGUCUGGUGCCAGCAGCCGCGGUAAUUCCAGCUCCAAUAGCGUAUAUUAAAGUUGUUGCAGUUAAAAAGCUCGUAGUUGAAUUUCGGGGUCAGUAGAUUGGUCAUGCCACUGGUAUGUACUGGUCUUACUGGCUCCUCCUUCCUGAUGAACCGUAAUGCCAUUAAUUUGGUGUUGCGGGGAGACUGGACUGUUACUUUGAAAAAAUUAGAGUGUUUAAAGCAGGCUAACGCUUGAAUACAUUAGCAUGGAAUAAUGAAAUAGGACGUUCGAUCUUAUUUUGUUGGUUUCUAGGAUUGACGUAAUGAUUAAUAGGGAUAGUUGGGGGCAUUAGUAUUCAAUUGUCAGAGGUGAAAUUCUUGGAUUUAUUGAAGACUAACUACUGCGAAAGCAUUUGCCAAGGAUGUUUUCAUUAAUCAAGAACGAAAGUUAGGGGAUCGAAGACGAUCAGAUACCGUCGUAGUCUUAACCAUAAACUAUGCCGACUAGGGAUCGGAUGAUGUUAAUUUUUUAAUGACUCAUUCGGCGCCUUACGGGAAA